RNAcentral lists this ribosomal RNA (174 nucleotides) under Nyctimantis rugiceps (brown-eyed treefrog). RNAcentral's name for it is "partial 16S ribosomal RNA". Lineage: Eukaryota; Metazoa; Chordata; Amphibia; Anura; Hylidae. The record is from RNAcentral.
ACGUGAUCUGAGUUCAGACCGGAGUAAUCCAGGUCAGUUUCUAUCUAUAGUGGAGCUCUUUCCAGUACGAAAGGAUCGAAAAAGCAUGGCCAAUACUUUAUGCAAGCCGUAGUUACCAACUUAUGACUUAACCUCAAUAAACUCAUAGCCCACCCCCGAGCUCAAAAAAAGAGC